This 506-nucleotide ribosomal RNA is filed under the name uncultured bacterium. Its description in RNAcentral is "partial 16S ribosomal RNA". It matches the Rfam family "Bacterial small subunit ribosomal RNA", at positions 29 to 523 of the family's 1533-position model. The record is from RNAcentral.
AGUGAACGCUGGCGGUAGGCCUAACACAUGCAAGUCGAACGGCAGCACAGGAGAGCUUGCUCUCUGGGUGGCGAGUGGCGGACGGGUGAGGAAUACAUCGGAAUCUACUCUGUCGUGGGGGAUAACGUAGGGAAACUUACGCUAAUACCGCAUACGACCUACGAGUGAAAGCAGGGGACCUUCGGGCCUUGCGCGAUUGAAUGAGCCGGUGUCGGAUUAGCUAGUUGGCGGGGUAAAGGCCCACCAAGGCGACGGUCCGUAGCUGGUCUAAGAGGAUGAGUGGCCACACUGGAACUGAGCCACGGUCCAGACUCCUACGGGAGGCAGCAGUGGGGAAUAUUGGACAAUGGGCGCAAGCCUGAUCCAGCCAUACCGCGUGGGUGAAGAAGGCCUUCGGGUUGUAAAGCCCUUUUGUUGGGAAAGAAAUCCAGCUGGCUAAUACCCGGUUGGGAUGACGGUACCCAAAGAAUAAGCACCGGCUAACUUCGUGCCAGCCGCCGCCGUAA